UGAAUUCAGUUUCAAUAAGAGUAAAGCGAUGUGUACAUCAGCUAUCAUUGUUAAGUCGUGUUUCGCAUAAAUGCAUAUUGAUACGCAGGUAAAAUUAAAAUGUAUGUUUACGUAAUAUUUCGGUCAACGAAUCAAAAUGUUUUUAUACACAAUUGAAUUGGACUGUUUUUUAUACAAUUAUUAAAAAACAUUUUGUAAAUCAAUAAAAAAUGUUAAUCAACAGAUAAUAGAUUUUAAUUUGUUCCAAAAGUACUUUUCGACUGCUAUUUUUACUAAGGAACAAUUGCAGUGGCUACGCAUGUGUACCUUUUGAUGUCAUUCAGUUGCAAAUAUGUCUGUCGUUUAUCACCAUCAGUGAAACAGAAGAAGUUAUUAUACUUUUUAGGGAAAUGUUUUGCAUGGGUAUACAUACUAUUUCUUUUGUGUUGCAUUUAGAAGAAUGGAAACUACAUCUUACAACACAAGUUUAUCGAAUGUAAUGGCACAAUCAACAGGACACCUACCACGACAACAUAUAUUCAAUAUCAAGACAUUUAAGAUAUUAGGUGGUAUACAGAUAGGGCUUGGUGGAAUAUUAGUCAUCAUGGGUUUGGUUGUAUUGACAAGGAUGUCUAUCAUAUUCUACUUUGGUAUACCGAUAUUAAUAUGCUCAGGAUGGUUUAUCCUGACUGGAUUCCUACCAAUGUGCAUGUCAGGGAAUUCAGUUUCUAGCUUGAAAUGCCAGAAAAUAGGCUUCAUGGUUUGCAGUAUAAUAGGAGCAGUAGUAUUUUCACCUAUUGUGUUUACAUUAGCUAUUGGCUCAGGAAUGAGUUAUUUUUACACAGACUAUGGAAACAAUAUGUGUAUUUUAUCGUUUUCCAUAGCCGUAUUGGUUUUUGCUUUAGCAAUAGUUGCAGUCAUUUCAGCUUCCUAAUGUUGCUGUUGUUCGCCUUGGGGACGUCAGCAGAUGGUUGUUUUGAUGAGUCCUCCACAGCCUGGAAUGAAUCUACAUGCCCUUGGAAAUCAAAUUUGGAACACAAACAUUCAGACAUUAGUUGAAACAACCGGAAAAACAGAGGUUUAUUCAAAUGCUCAACAGUACCAACUUGUUGGAACUGAUCAAGUGGCUUGUUAUUUACAGAAUCCGAACAUUUCAAAUCCACCACCGUACGAGGAAUGAAUGAAUCCAAUAUACAUGAUGUAUUAUUAUCUAGAGCAUAUAACUAUAAUAAUGUAAUGAUGUAUUUUAACUGAAAAUAUAAACAAUCAAAAUAAAUCAUAAAGGACAGAAAUCAACGCCCACCUUCCAAUACAUAUGAAACCUUAAGAAAAACGAUGUGUUUUAAAGUUCUAUACUUUAAUCACUAGUAUGGGAGCAUGGACCUUACAUCCAUGUUUUUGGGAUUGUGCUGGAUAGUUGUCUCAUUGGCAAUCAUACUAAAUCUCAUUAUUUUAAUGAGGAAAAGCCGAUGACUAGUAGAUGUAUUAGAAUUAAGAAAAACAAGCAACUUAAAAAUACAAAAAAAAAACCAACCCUUCUAAUUAGGUGCACAAAGUCUUUACCCGUUUUGAUGAUUUUUUACUUUUUACAUACGCUAUUCGAUUUUGAGCGUUCCUGAUGAAGAUAAAUCCAGAAAAACGCUUCGGACGCAUGCCAUUUAUAGCAUGUUUAUUCAAUUUGUUACAGCACUGUGUUAAGACCUCUUCUGUAGGAUUAUGAGUCCCCAGGGGCAUCAUCAGCUUAGUAGUCAUUACUUUCGGUACUAACAUGAUUUAUAACAAACCUUUCUCAAAUUGUCCGUUUAUAAAUUUUGAAUUAUGAAGAAACGAAGGUUUCAACUUCCUCAGGCAAAGUUGACGUUAGAUUGAUUUGGCUAUUUUUUAUGUCAUUUUUUGACAUAUAGCUAUUUAACUGUUUCGGUUCUUUAAUAUUCUUGGCGUUCAAAAGUUAUGGACAAAAAGUGCGGAAGGAGAAAAAACAGAUAAACGUACGAUAAAAUUUUGUCACUUGACUUCCGACUGAGGUGACACAAUAAUAACACGAUUUUUAAUAAGAAAAAAGUAUAAUAAUAACAAAUAUUCCGAACUCAAAGGAAAACUCAAAACGGAAAGUCCCUUAUCAAAUGGCAAAUUCAAAAGCUCAAACACAUUAAACAAAUGGAAAACAACUGUCAAAUUCCUGACUUGGUACAGGUAUUUCCUAUGUAGAAAAUGGUGGAGUAAACCUGGUUUUAUAAACCUCACAUUUGUAUGACGAUCGCAUAAAUUUCCAUUAUAUUGACAACAAUGUGUGAACAAAAAAAUCAGACAUAAUAGGUAAAAAUGUAAAAAAUAAGGGCACAGCAGUCAACAUUGUGUUAUAGUGUUAAUCAUUAUCAAAACAAACAAAUAUGCCAACAAAGAAUACAAAAUGGCAUAUAAACAUAGCACAUAAGCAACAAUUAAAGAAAAGAAUACAAAAAAUGACCAUAGCAAAAUAAUACAAUGGCGGUAUGUAUAAGUACCAUUGUCCGCGACCUCACUUCAUGGUUCAUUGACUACUUGAUUUUUUGUAAUGUUAAUUUCUCUCUUAUUAUGAGUAAUAGAAAAACUAUAUAUGGUAUGUGCGUACCUUGCAAGGUCCUAAAGCCAGUCAAACAGUUUGCACUUGACCUCGACCUCAUUUAAUGGAUCAGUGAACUAGUUUAAGUUUUCGUGGUCAGGUCCAUAUCUUAGAUACUAUGAGCAAUAUUAUAACGCUGCUUCCCUGGUGUUAGAGUCGGCCACCAGAGAUCACAGGUUACAUAGAAAAGGGAUUUCUUAACUGGUAUGAUUUAUUACUGCAAAAUUUAGGGCCGACGUCUAAUUGGAAUACCGUCGAACCAACCCACUUUACAGCUUCGUUUAACCUAUGUUCUACAGGUCUAUCUAUUGUAUAUAUGAUUGAGAAAUAAAAGAAAUAGCAUAUAUAA
Molecule: long non-coding RNA, 2930 nt
Organism: Mytilus californianus (California mussel)
Lineage: Eukaryota; Metazoa; Mollusca; Bivalvia; Mytilida; Mytilidae
Exons: 6
Source: RefSeq, a predicted model, not a curated record